Molecule: transfer RNA, 78 nt
Filed under: Candidatus Roizmanbacteria bacterium
Lineage: Bacteria; Candidatus Roizmaniibacteriota
Description: tRNA-His
Rfam family: tRNA
About the family: Transfer RNA (tRNA) molecules are approximately 80 nucleotides in length. Their secondary structure includes four short double-helical elements and three loops (D, anti-codon, and T loops).
Source: RNAcentral
GUGGCUGUAGCUCAGUUGGCUUAGAGCGUCAGGUUGUGGACCUGAAUGUCGGGGGUUCAAAUCCCCUCAGCCACCCCA